GUCUAUGGCGGGCUGUGCGAGGCAUCCGAAAGGAUGGCCGGUUCCUUCGACCGGUAGGCCAACCUCGUUCAGUCCGCCACCACC
Molecule: non-coding RNA, 84 nt
Filed under: Candidatus Competibacter denitrificans Run_A_D11
Lineage: Bacteria; Pseudomonadati; Pseudomonadota; Gammaproteobacteria; Candidatus Competibacteraceae
Source: RNAcentral